AACGUUAACAACAUCCCGGAGGCGAGUCUAGCUCCGCCCCAAGCCGGGAGCCGGGAGCCGCGACCGACCGCCGCAAGCCGGGAGCCGCGACCGACCGCCCCAAGCCGGGAGCCGCGACCGACCGCCCCAAGCCGGGAGCCGCGACCGACCGCCGGCAGCCGCGACCUCCGCCCGGCAGCCGCGACCGACCGCCGGGAGCGCGACCAACCGCCCCAAGCCGGGAGCCGCGACCGACCGCCCCAAGCCGGGAGCGCGACCGACCGCCCCAAGCCGGGAGCCGCGACCGACCGCCCCAAGCCGAGCCGGCGACCGACCGCCGGCGAAGCCGCGACCUCCGCCGCGACCGCGGGGAAGGCGGGAGCCGCGACCGACCGCCCCAAGCCGAGCGCGACCCGACCGCCGCAAGCCGGCAGCCGCGACCUCCGCCAGCCGGGAGCGCGACCGACCGCCCCGAGCCGCGACCGACCGCCCCAAGCCGGGAGCCGCGACCGACCGCCCCAAGCCGGGAGCCGCGACCGACCGCCCCAAGCCGAGAGCCGCGACCGACCGCCCGGCAGCCGCGACCUCCGCCGGCAGCCGCCGGGAGGCGGGAGCCGCGACCGACCGCCCCAAGCCGAGAGCCGCGACCGAACGCCGCAAGCCGGCAGCCGCGACCUCCGCCCCAAGCCGGGAGCCGCGACCGACCCCCGGGAGCCGCGACCGACCGCCCCAAGCCGGGAGCCGCGACCGACCGCCCCAAGCCGGGAGCCGCGACCGACCGCCCCAAGCCGGGAGCCGCGACCGACCGCCCCAAGCCGGGAGCCGCGACCGACCGCCGGGAGCCGCGACCUCCGCCGCAAGCCGGGAGCCGCGACCGACCGCCCCAAGCCGAGAGCCGCGACCGAACGCCGCAAGCCGGGAGCCGCGACCGACCGCCGGCAGCCGCGAACGAACGCCGGCAGCCGCGAACGAACGCCGGCAGCCGCGAACGAAGGCCGGGAGCCGCGAGAAAAUGAUGGCGUAGACGCGAUCUGUUUUUCCGCACUUCAAGGGGGGAGGUGCUGCUCAGGUUGGGGGCGUGGUCGCCCCAGUAGCAGGAGUCAACUUACGUCACUUGACGCCCGGGCUGUGAAUGGCUCGUUUACAGACCGUCUGCACGAUCAACCCAAACCACGAAUCAACGACUCAUUGUUUUCUUUUCAUUCUCCGUGGGCUGGCAGACACCCCAGAUAA
Molecule: long non-coding RNA, 1212 nt
Filed under: Scophthalmus maximus (turbot)
Lineage: Eukaryota; Metazoa; Chordata; Actinopteri; Pleuronectiformes; Scophthalmidae
Description: lncRNA (ENSSMAG00000032654.1)
Source: RNAcentral